Taeniopygia guttata (zebra finch) is the source of this 470-nucleotide non-coding RNA. Lineage: Eukaryota; Metazoa; Chordata; Aves; Passeriformes; Estrildidae. The record is from RefSeq and is a predicted model, not a curated record.
UGAGUCAAGGGAUGCAGUGACUCACGCAUCAUCUGAGCUCCUGUGCAUUUCACGUGGCUCCAGGGCAGGAUGACACAAAUUCAUUUCCCUCUGGAAAGGGUGACUCAGCUCACAGGGGUACAGGCUGCAGGACACAAAGCUGUGACCAGGUCCCACUGCUGCCCUGAAGGACCAUGGACUGAGAAAGGCUGGAAGCAUCAUCUCUGUCUCUGAGGAAGGUGUUCCUGGAUGCAGGACAGAGGAGACAAUCUCAGCAGAAAAUGGAAAACCAGUUUCCUGUGACAGGAAGGAUUUCUCACAGUGUUAACCUGGAUUAUUUCUGUUCCUCAGUACAUACAUGUUAUUUUCAAGUCUCUUCAGAGUAGGUAAAGGGGUGAAAAUUGCUUUCAAAGAUAUAAUUAGCAGUCUCUUUUUCCUAAUAGCCUUUCUCUGGAAAGAUAUUGCCACGGUGGCAUAAAAAUUCAACCCUU